This 119-nucleotide unclassified non-coding RNA is filed under the name uncultured Archaeorhizomyces. RNAcentral describes it as "sequence contains ITS1". The record is from RNAcentral. Lineage: Eukaryota; Fungi; Ascomycota; Archaeorhizomycetes; Archaeorhizomycetales; Archaeorhizomycetaceae.
CUGAAUGGCCUCUCGGGGCCUUCAACCCUUCAAACCAGUGGAAGCAAACUCUGUGCUUCGGCGCCUCGUGCGCCGCUUUUAUGCAGAAGGCUUUCUGUCUGAAUCAUAAACAAGAAUUA